RNAcentral lists this ribosomal RNA (486 nucleotides) under uncultured bacterium. RNAcentral's name for it is "bacterial SSU rRNA". It matches the Rfam family "Bacterial small subunit ribosomal RNA", at positions 24 to 507 of the family's 1533-position model. The record is from RNAcentral.
UCAGAUUGAACGCUGGCGGCAUGCUUUACACAUGCAAGUCGAACGGUAACAGGCCGCAAGGUGCUGACGAGUGGCGAACGGGUGAGUAAUGCAUCGGAACGUGCCCAGUCGUGGGGGAUAACGCAGCGAAAGCUGUGCUAAUACCGCAUACGAUCUACGGAUGAAAGCGGGGGAUCGCAAGACCUCGCGCGGACGGAGCGGCCGAUGGCAGAUUAGGUAGUUGGUGGGAUAAAAGCUUACCAAGCCGACGAUCUGUAGCUGGUCUGAGAGGACGACCAGCCACACUGGGACUGAGACACGGCCCAGACUCCUACGGGAGGCAGCAGUGGGGAAUUUUGGACAAUGGGCGAAAGCCUGAUCCAGCCAUGCCGCGUGCAGGAUGAAGGCCUUCGGGUUGUAAACUGCUUUUGUACGGAACGAAAAAGUCUUCUCUAAUACAGGGGGCGAAUGACGGUACCGUAAGAAUAAGCACCGGCUAACUACGUG